CAACCCUAUAUCUUUGUCACAUUCUGUGACAAAUUUUACUGCAGUCAGAUCAUUGAUUUUUAAAAUAAAUCAACAAUUUACUUUUUAAAAAAAUGUGAACAAUAGUAAAAUGUUAGUACGUACAAAAUGUAAUUUUUUUUUAAAUUUCUAUCAAAAUAUGAUAGUUUUCGCCUGUUUUGUGUCAGUACAAACUCAACCAGAGUACUCAACAAGAUCAACUCAGCCAGGACCAUUCAAGAAAGUAGUUUACCAGAGCUCCAAAUCCAGUAAUGCCGUAAAUGAUUAUAUAACUGUACCAACAACAGCGAGACAAAUACCAGUAGAACUACAAGAUUUUUUAGUGAACAAAACCUCGAAUGAAAUGAAUUUGGAAGACUGCAUGGCUGAAUUAGUCGCCUGUAUGAAAGUUCACGUGCAUAAAGAAGGUAACAUUUGCGCUGUCAAUAAGCAUAGUGUAAAAAAGCGUUUUCAAAAUUUCUGCGAAAUGUUCUAUGAUAACUGCAAAGCAUACGAAGCUCGAUGGCACUACACUGAAGAUUCACAAUGUUGAAAAUAACCAUUAGUAUAAGAAUAAAUAUUUGGAAAAUA
Molecule: long non-coding RNA, 588 nt
Organism: Plodia interpunctella (Indianmeal moth)
Lineage: Eukaryota; Metazoa; Arthropoda; Insecta; Lepidoptera; Pyralidae
Exons: 4
Source: RefSeq, a predicted model, not a curated record